RNAcentral lists this small RNA (28 nucleotides) under Bombyx mori (domestic silkworm). Its description in RNAcentral is "piRNA piR-bmo-1701193". The record is from RNAcentral. Lineage: Eukaryota; Metazoa; Arthropoda; Insecta; Lepidoptera; Bombycidae.
UUCUGACUGUUAAACUAUCACCCUGCGU